GAUCCUGUAGCUCAGUCUGGUCAGAGCGCUAGUCUUAUAAGCUAGAGGUUCCUGGGUUCAAAUCCCAGCAGGAUCA
Molecule: transfer RNA, 76 nt
Filed under: archaeon
Lineage: Archaea
Description: tRNA-Ile
Rfam family: tRNA
About the family: Transfer RNA (tRNA) molecules are approximately 80 nucleotides in length. Their secondary structure includes four short double-helical elements and three loops (D, anti-codon, and T loops).
Source: RNAcentral